This 1343-nucleotide ribosomal RNA is filed under the name uncultured bacterium. RNAcentral's name for it is "16S ribosomal RNA". It matches the Rfam family "Bacterial small subunit ribosomal RNA", at positions 28 to 1378 of the family's 1533-position model. The record is from RNAcentral.
GACGAACGCUGGCGGCGUGCUUAACACAUGCAAGUCGAACGGAAAGGCCCUGCUUUUGUGGGGUGCUCGAGUGGCGAACGGGUGAGUAGCACGUGAGUAACCUGCCCUUGACUUUGGGAUAACUUCAGGAAACUGGGGCUAAUACCGGAUAGGAGCUCCUGCUGCAUGGUGGGGGUUGGAAAGUUUCGGCGGUUGGGGAUGGACUCGCGGCUUAUCAGCUUGUUGGUGGGGUAGUGGCUUACCAAGGCCUUGACGGGUAGCCGGCCUGAGAGGGUGACCGGCCACAUUGGGACUGAGAUACGGCCCAGACUCCUACGGGAGGCAGCAGUGGGGAAUAUUGCACAAUGGGCGGAAGCCUGAUGCAGCAACGCCGCGUGCGGGAUGACGGCCUUCGGGUUGUAAACCGCUUUCGCCUGUGACGAAGCGUGAGUGACGGUAAUGGGUAAAGAAGCACCGGCUAACUACGUGCCAGCAGCCGCGGUGAUACGUAGGGUGCAAGCGUUGUCCGGAUUUAUUGGGCGUAAAGGGCUCGUAGGUGGUUGAUCGCGUCGGAAGUGUAAUCUUGGGGCUUAACCCUGAGCGUGCUUUCGAUACGGGUUGACUUGAGGAAGGUAGGGGAGAAUGGAAUUCCUGGUGGAGCGGUGGAAUGCGCAGAUAUCAGGAGGAACACCAGUGGCGAAGGCGGUUCUCUGGGCCUUUCCUGACGCUGAGGAGCGAAGGCGUGGGGAGCGAACAGGCUUAGAUACCCUGGUAGUCCACGCUGUAAACGGUGGGUACUAGGUGUGGGGUCCAUUCCACGGGUUCCGUGCCGUAGCUAACGCUUUAAGUACCCCGCCUGGGGAGUACGGCCGCAAGGCUAAAACUCAAAGGAAUUGACGGGGCCCCGCACAAGCGGCGGAGCAUGCGGAUUAAUUCGAUGCAACGCGUAGAACCUUACCUGGGUUUGACAUGGAUCGGGAGUGCUCAGAGAUGGGUGUGCCUCUUUUGGGGUCGGUUCACAGGUGGUGCAUGGCUGUCGUCAGCUCGUGUCGUGAGAUGUUGGGUUAAGUCCCGCAACGAGCGCAACCCUUGUUCACUGUUGCCAGCACGUUAUGGUGGGGACUCAGUGGAGACCGCCGGGGUCAACUCGGAGGAAGGUGGGGAUGACGUCAAGUCAUCAUGCCCCUUAUGUCCAGGGCUUCACGCAUGCUACAAUGGCUGGUACAGAGAGUGGCGAGCCUGUGAGGGUGAGCGAAUCUCGGAAAGCCGGUCUCAGUUCGGAUUGGGGUCUGCAACUCGACCUCAUGAAGUCGGAGUCGCUAGUAAUCGCAGAUCAGCAACGCUGCGGUGAAUACGUUCCCGGG